RNAcentral lists this ribosomal RNA (433 nucleotides) under uncultured bacterium. RNAcentral's name for it is "partial 16S ribosomal RNA". It matches the Rfam family "Bacterial small subunit ribosomal RNA", at positions 29 to 507 of the family's 1533-position model. The record is from RNAcentral.
AGCGAACGCUGGCGGCAGGCCUAACACAUGCAAGUCGAACGAACUCUUCGGAGUUAGUGGCGGACGGGUGAGUAACCCGUGGGAACGUUCCUUUAGGUUCGGAAUAACUCAGGGAAACUUGUGCUAAUACCGAAUGUGCCCUUCGGGGGAAAGAUUUAUCGCCUCUAGAGCGGCCCGCGUCUGAUUAGCUAGUUGGUGAGGUAAAGGCUCACCAAGGCGACGAUCAGUAGCUGGUCUGAGAGGAUGAUCAGCCACAUUGGGACUGAGACACGGCCCAAACUCCUACGGGAGGCAGCAGUGGGGAAUCUUGCGCAAUGGGCGAAAGCCUGACGCAGCCAUGCCGCGUGAAUGAUGAAGGUCUUAGGAUUGUAAAAUUCUUUCACCGGGGACGAUAAUGACGGUACCCGGAGAAGAAGCCACGGCUAACUUCGUG